Molecule: ribosomal RNA, 301 nt
Filed under: uncultured bacterium
Lineage: Bacteria
Description: partial 16S ribosomal RNA
Rfam family: Bacterial small subunit ribosomal RNA
Source: RNAcentral
CAGUAGCCGCGGUAAUACGAAGGGUGCAAGCGUUACUCGGAAUUACUGGGCGUAAAGCGUGCGUAGGUGGUGGUUUAAGUCCGUUGUGAAAGCCCUGGGCUCAACCUGGGAAUUGCAGUGGAUACUGGGUCACUAGAGUGUGGUAGAGGAUAGUGGAAUUUCCGGUGUAGCAGUGAAAUGCGUAGAGAUCGGAAGGAACAUCUGUGGCGAAGGCGACUAUCUGGGCCAACACUGACACUGAGGCACGAAAGCGUGGGGAGCAAAUGGGAUUGGAUACCCCUGUAGUCCCUGUCUCUUAUAC